Aethina tumida (small hive beetle) is the source of this 599-nucleotide long non-coding RNA. RefSeq lists it as uncharacterized. Lineage: Eukaryota; Metazoa; Arthropoda; Insecta; Coleoptera; Nitidulidae. The transcript is spliced from 3 exons. The record is from RefSeq and is a predicted model, not a curated record.
ACGUCGGAUGCCCGAAGUGGAAAUACCCGAGCGCUUUCAGUCGAUAUCGUAUGUGCGUAUGGGUAAUUUGUGCGCAUACUCAUGGAGGUUCAAUAAGAAAUGUAUGAAAUACUUGGUACAUGUAGAUUUGAGUAGAGAUAUUCAAAGUAAUAUGUACAAAAGAGAUCAAGACAUCACAAGAAACAAUAAUGUGGCUUCCUUCCUUAGUAAUUGAUAACUGUUGUUUAUCGUAGUAAACGACUCAGGAAAGAAUUUGAUUAAUAAUGACAUCCAUUUAUUGAAUAUAUCCAUGGCAUAUCUAUCGACUAUAUACAAAUGCUAAAAUAUGUAUUGCACUACAGUGGACAAAAAAAAUAUAUUUCAUUAGUUGUUCUCAAUAUUUAAAUCUAAACUCUUUUUCCUGUAAUAAACUUUAUUUAAUAUAUUUCAUAAUCAAUUAUAGAUUUUCAACAUACAUUUACUAGAAUUGUUUGUUUUGAAUACAGAAUAUUUUUAGGUUAAUCCUCAAUCAUCGGUCUGAUGACAUCGCGUAGAUCAAACAUACGAAUUAAAAUCGUAGAGUAGGCCAUGGAACACCCAAAGUAGGUAUCAGUUCCUAA